ACGUCGGCGGCUGUCGCAAAUCGUAAGACCUUCUUCGCGAUGCGCGCGAUAAUAUUUGGUGGUCAAAAUUUCUCAAGAAAACAAUGCCCAAAAAACCUGCUGUGUUUGGUCGUUCUGAAGACGAUGGAUCAGAUAUUGUCCAGGCAAGUAAUAAAUCAAAUAACCGCUCUCGAUGAGUCAAAAAAAGCAUCUUAAGGCAGAGCAUGUUGAACCUUGAGGUUGAUGGGCAUAAUCAGGCAAAAGUAGGUAUCUUAGAUGAUCAUGGACACCCAAACACCCCUGUGUUAAAAGGCCACGUUGAUGUAAUAUUGUGAAAAUUAUGAUUUUGAACCAAUUUAUUUGUAUGCUUGUGUUUUGCGUUAAGAACAAAAUCUUGUAACGGUUUUAUGAAUAUAUAAAAUACAUUUAUGAGUUGAGAUUAUGUAUUUAUUUUGUGCAAAUAAGAAAUAAUUACAUUAACAGAGAAAGAAAACACCCAUGCACAGGCAAAAGAAAAGGCAUCCCAGGGUUUGGAAAUCCCACACCUACUCUACAGCCUGGAUUCAAUCAGAAGAGACAUUAAAUACUACCAUUGUACCCAUAUAUUUUGUAUGUUUGGUCUUUUUCUCUUUUUAGAAAUACUGGGCAUUUCUGUGUAUUCAUGAUCAUGAUUUCCUUUUUUUUUUUUUUUUUUUUUUUA
Molecule: long non-coding RNA, 679 nt
Organism: Silurus meridionalis
Lineage: Eukaryota; Metazoa; Chordata; Actinopteri; Siluriformes; Siluridae
Exons: 2
Source: RefSeq, a predicted model, not a curated record